GGGUGUGGAGGGGAGAGGCCGGGAUGGAGCCGGGAUCGAUCGGGAUGGAGCCGGGAUGGAGCGGGAUGGCACCAUGUCUUGAAUGCAGACACCUCCUGCCAGUGAAUACACCCUCUUGCAUUGGAUGUGAGUCAGCAAUAGCUCCACAGCUGCAGCCCCAAACCAACAUCUGCAUAAAGGGCUGAAUAACCAGAGCACUUUGGAAGAUCAAGUCCUCAAUGAGAGCCAUAGAGACCCACAGAGAUCCCAUAGAGACCCCAUGGAGUCUCAUAGAGACCCCAUAGAGACCCACAGAAAGACCCAUACAGACCCAUGGGGACCCAUACAGACCGUAGAGAGCCAUAGAGAGCCACAGAGACCCACAGAGACCCCACAGAGACCAACAGAGACCAACAGGGCCCCAUAGAGACCUAUAGAGACCCACAGAGCCCAUACAGACCCCACAGAGACCCCACAGAGCCCCCAUAGAGACCCAGAGAGCCCACAGAGCCCCAUAGAGAC
Molecule: long non-coding RNA, 501 nt
Filed under: Strigops habroptila (Kakapo)
Lineage: Eukaryota; Metazoa; Chordata; Aves; Psittaciformes; Psittacidae
Description: lncRNA (ENSSHBG00005007312.1)
Source: RNAcentral